Molecule: ribosomal RNA, 496 nt
Filed under: uncultured Streptococcus sp.
Lineage: Bacteria; Bacillati; Bacillota; Bacilli; Lactobacillales; Streptococcaceae
Description: bacterial SSU rRNA
Rfam family: Bacterial small subunit ribosomal RNA
Source: RNAcentral
GACGAACGCUGGCGGCGUGCCUAAUACAUGCAAGUAGAACGCUGAAGGAGGAGCUUGCUUCUCCGGAUGAGUUGCGAACGGGUGAGUAACGCGUAGGUAACCUGCCUGGUAGCGGGGGAUAACUAUUGGAAACGAUAGCUAAUACCGCAUAAGAGUAGAUGUUGCAUGACAUUUGCUUAAAAGGUGCAAUUGCAUCACUACCAGAUGGACCUGCGUUGUAUUAGCUAGUUGGUGGGGUAACGGCUCACCAAGGCGACGAUACAUAGCCGACCUGAGAGGGUGAUCGGCCACACUGGGACUGAGACACGGCCCAGACUCCUACGGGAGGCAACAGUAGGGAAUCUUCGGCAAUGGACGGAAGUCUGACCGAGCAACGCCGCGUGAGUGAAGAAGGUUUUCGGAUCGUAAAGCUCUGUUGUAAGAGAAGAACGAGUGUGAGAGUAGAAAGUUCACACUGUGACGGUAUCUUACCAGAAAGGGACGGCUAACUACGUGC